UGACGGCUAGACAUUCAUUACUCAUUCAUCCAUUUGAAAACAGGUUCCAAGCCAAAAGCCUCCCAGAAAAUUCCAUGAAAAAAAAUGCUAUCCGAGAAUGUUGUCCUAAAAUUGGGUGACGGCUGCUUCCAAAUCCCUAGGGCCAUAUCAUGUUUCCUAUUUCGGCUCAAACUAUUUUGCCAAAAAUUGGCCCAAUGUUUACAAGUUUAAUUAAAAACUAUCUAGACUACUAAGUUUCAAAGUAAUUAAAUUUGAAAUGUCUAUGUGAAGAGUCUUGACUUAUUUGAUAGCACUCCAAAUGUCCC
RNAcentral lists this long non-coding RNA (305 nucleotides) under Vigna radiata. RNAcentral describes it as "long non-coding RNA (VRAD_LNC008590)". The record is from RNAcentral. Lineage: Eukaryota; Viridiplantae; Streptophyta; Magnoliopsida; Fabales; Fabaceae.